AGAACGAACGCUGGCGGCAUGCCUAACACAUGCAAGUCGAACGAGACCUUUCGGGGUCUAGUGGCGCACGGGUGCGUAACGCGUGGGAAUCUGCCCCUUGGUUCGGAAUAACAGUUAGAAAUGACUGCUAAUACCGGAUGACGACGUAAGUCCAAAGAUUUAUCGCCGAGGGAUGAGCCCGCGUAGGAUUAGCUAGUUGGUGAGGUAAUGGCUCACCAAGGCGACGAUCCUUAGCUGGUCUGAGAGGAUGAUCAGCCACACUGGGACUGAGACACGGCCCAGACUCCUACGGGAGGCAGCAGUGGGGAAUAUUGGACAAUGGGCGAAAGCCUGAUCCAGCAAUGCCGCGUGAGUGAUGAAGGCCUUAGGGUUGUAAAGCUCUUUUACCAGGGAUGAUAAUGACAGUACCUGGAGAAUAAGCUCCGGCUAAUUCCGCGCCAGCAGCCGC
This 448-nucleotide ribosomal RNA is filed under the name uncultured bacterium. RNAcentral describes it as "SSU rRNA". It matches the Rfam family "Bacterial small subunit ribosomal RNA", at positions 26 to 518 of the family's 1533-position model. The record is from RNAcentral.